UACAGAGGGGGCAAGCGUUAUUCGGAAUUAUUGGGCGUAAAGGGCGCGUAGGCGGCCCUUCAAGUGGGAGGUGAAAUCCCUCGGCUCAACCGAGGAGCGGCCUCCCAAACUGAAGGGCUUGAGUCCGGGAGAGGUGAGUGGAAUUCCCAGUGUAGCGGUGAAAUGCGUAGAUAUUGGGAGGAACACCAGUGGCGAAGGCGGCUCACUGGACCGGCACUGACGCUGAGGCGCGAAAGCGUGGGGAGCAAAC
Molecule: ribosomal RNA, 250 nt
Filed under: uncultured bacterium
Lineage: Bacteria
Description: partial 16S ribosomal RNA
Rfam family: Bacterial small subunit ribosomal RNA
Source: RNAcentral